CGCUUUUUUCGCCCAGGCGGCGCUCGAUCGCGAACUGAAGAAGUAAACGCCUAUCUCGAUCAGCACCGGGAUCUGUACGGGGUCGAGCCGAUCUGCAAGGUAUUGCAGGUCGCUCCG
Non-coding RNA from Alcaligenes faecalis, 117 nucleotides. The record is from Rfam. Lineage: Bacteria; Pseudomonadati; Pseudomonadota; Betaproteobacteria; Burkholderiales; Alcaligenaceae.